AGUUUUGCAGGUCUUGCAUCGGCCUAUGUCAAUUGCUGUGCAAAUCCAUGCAAAACUGA
Molecule: microRNA precursor, 59 nt
Organism: Monodelphis domestica (gray short-tailed opossum)
Lineage: Eukaryota; Metazoa; Chordata; Mammalia; Didelphimorphia; Didelphidae
Source: Ensembl